UACGUAGGGGGCAAGCGUUGUCCGGAAUCAUUGGGCGUAAAGCGCGCGUAGGCGGCCCGGUAAGUCCGCUGUGAAAGUCAAAGGCUUAACCUUUGAAUGUCAGCGGAUACUGUCGGGCUAGAGUCCGGAAGAGGCGAGUGGAAUUCCUGGUGUAGCGGUGGAAUGCGCAGAUAUCAGGAGGAACACCAACGGCGAAGGCAGCUCGCUGGGACGGUACUGACGCUGAGGCGCGAAAGCGUGGGGAGCGAACAGG
Molecule: ribosomal RNA, 253 nt
Filed under: uncultured bacterium
Lineage: Bacteria
Description: partial 16S ribosomal RNA
Rfam family: Bacterial small subunit ribosomal RNA
Source: RNAcentral